UACAGAGGUCUCAAGCGUUGUUCGGAUUCAUUGGGCGUAAAGGGUGUGUAGGUGGCGCCGUAAGUCGGGUGUGAAAUUUCGGAGCUUAACUCCGAAACUGCAUUCGAUACUGCGGUGCUUGAGGACUGGAGAGGGACGCGGAAUUCCAGGUGUAGCGGUGAAAUGCGUAGAUAUCUGGAGGAACACCGGUGGCGAAGGCGGCGUCCUGGACCAACACUGACACUGAUGAGCGAAAGCCAGGGGAGCAAACGGG
RNAcentral lists this ribosomal RNA (253 nucleotides) under uncultured bacterium. RNAcentral describes it as "partial 16S ribosomal RNA". It matches the Rfam family "Bacterial small subunit ribosomal RNA", at positions 524 to 776 of the family's 1533-position model. The record is from RNAcentral.